This 134-nucleotide non-coding RNA is filed under the name Massilibacterium senegalense. The record is from RNAcentral. Lineage: Bacteria; Bacillati; Bacillota; Bacilli; Caryophanales; Bacillaceae.
UAUCGUGAGGUAGUGUCUGAAGAAAGUUGGACACAAAUUCCUGAACUGACGAACAGAAACUAGAUAGAAGGCUGAAUUAGGUUGGAUGAUGAAGUAUCAUAUUACCCGAAACUUAUACAGUAAAUCUAGUAGUU